RNAcentral lists this ribosomal RNA (494 nucleotides) under uncultured bacterium. Its description in RNAcentral is "partial 16S ribosomal RNA". It matches the Rfam family "Bacterial small subunit ribosomal RNA", at positions 28 to 507 of the family's 1533-position model. The record is from RNAcentral.
GACGAACGCUGGCGGCGUGCUUAACACAUGCAAGUCGAACGGUGAAGCGCCUUCCUUUUUGGUGGGUGUGGAUGAGUGGCGAACGGGUGAGUAACACGUGAGUAACCUGCCCCCUUCUUCUGGAUAACCGCAUGAAAGUGUGGCUAAUACGGGAUAUUCUGGGUCUGUCGCAUGAUGGGUCUGGGAAAGAUAUUGUUUCGGUGGGGGAUGGGCUCGCGGCCUAUCAGCUUGUUGGUGGGGUGAUGGCCUACCAAGGCGGUGACGGGUAGCCGGCCUGAGAGGUUGGACGGUCACGCGGGGGCGGUGACACGGCCCGGGCUCCAACGGGAGGCAGCGGGGGGGAAUGUUGGACAGUGGGCGCAAGCCUGAUGCAGCGACGCCGCGUGAGGGAUGGAGGCCUUCGGUUUGUGAACCUCUUUCGCUAGUGAAGCAGGCCUGCCUGGUUUGUGGGUGGGUUGACGGUAGCUGGAUAAGAAGCGCCGGCUAACUACGUG